UGGCGCAGGUGUCAGUGAAGCACAGGUGCAAGCCAGUUUAAAGACCCUAUUAUGAUGUCAUAAUGGCCCAAUGUAAGUCAAUGGGAGAAAUUGUAUUAGUUUUUAUUUAAUGUUUUAAAAAGUAUAAAGUUUAGAAAAAUGAAAAAUACAUAGCAUAAGUGUCCUUUACAAGACCUACGCGCCAAAGUUUGAACGAAGUUUUUAAGUUAAGCGGUUUGAGCUGAAUUAAGCGCAGAAGUUCGGUAAAGAGAAUAAUAAUAACUAGAAAAUGCAUUUCCUGAAGGAAAUACCAGUGCAUGAAAUGCUAAAGUUAAGAAAGGAAGAAGAAAAGAAAGAAGAGUGAAAGAAGGAAAGAAGAAAGGAAAGAAGAAAGGAAAGAAGGAAAGAAGAGAGGAAGAAGGAAAGAAGAAAGGAAAGAAGAGUGAAGAAAGGAAAGAAGAGUUGAAGAAGGAAGGAAGAGUGGAAGAAAGAAAGAAGAAAAGAAAGAAGAGUGAAGAAAUGAAAGAAGAGUAGAAGAAGGAAAGAAGAGUGGAAGAAGGAAAGAAGAGUGAAGAAAGAAAAGAAGAGUAGAAGAAGGAAAGAAGAGUGGAAGAAGGAAAGAAGAAAGGAAAGGAGAGUGGAAGAAGGAAAGAAGAGUGGAAGAACGAAAGAAGAAGAGUGGAAGAAGGAAAGAAUAAUAUUCCUAGUUAUACAGUUGAAUGGAGAGGGAC
Long non-coding RNA from Clupea harengus (Atlantic herring), 710 nucleotides. The record is from Ensembl. NCBI's taxonomy places the organism in Eukaryota, Metazoa, Chordata, Actinopteri, Clupeiformes, Clupeidae.